Long non-coding RNA from Labrus bergylta (ballan wrasse), 473 nucleotides. RefSeq lists it as uncharacterized. Lineage: Eukaryota; Metazoa; Chordata; Actinopteri; Labriformes; Labridae. The record is from RefSeq and is a predicted model, not a curated record.
CCAUGAGGACGCUUCUGUCCAGGUCUUCUUUUCCACCUUCCUCCCGCUGAAGGUGUGCUAUGGUGUUGACUAGCAGCAGGAAAUGCCCUCGCCUCCUUCCUCCUCCGUCAGUCACGCUGGCGGUGAUGUCACACGUCCAGCUGAUCUAAAACGGAGUCUGAUAAAAGUCAAGAUCAUGUGACACGUUUACCUCGACCAGCCGAACCCUCACAGCUGGAUUUAUAGCGCCGCCUUGGACGUGAUGACUAGGACACUGAUGGAAGAGGUGCAUUCUGGGAGCACACACGCCAAAAUAAAUCACCACAUGCAGAAGUGACGCUCAGUGCUAACAAAUAAAGUCUGUUCAGGCUUCACCAACAACACGACUUCCUGAACAACCAUGGCAACAACCCAUAACAAUUCUACAGUUCACUUAGCAGACGCUUUUAUGCAAAGCGAGUACAUCAGAGAGUAAGUACAACACAAGCAAGGAU